CUGAGCAUGACGUCCUAUGGUCUGGAAUCUCCCUCUGGUCAGCUGGGGUCGGCUGUCCCAGCUGUGUCCCCUCCCAACUUCUUGUGCCCCCCCAGCCUGCUCGCUGGUGGGGCAGUUCAGGAAACAGAGCCA
Molecule: long non-coding RNA, 132 nt
Organism: Aquila chrysaetos chrysaetos
Lineage: Eukaryota; Metazoa; Chordata; Aves; Accipitriformes; Accipitridae
Exons: 3
Source: RefSeq, a predicted model, not a curated record